RNAcentral lists this long non-coding RNA (201 nucleotides) under Gossypium raimondii (Peruvian cotton). Its description in RNAcentral is "long non-coding RNA (GRAI_LNC004295)". The record is from RNAcentral. Lineage: Eukaryota; Viridiplantae; Streptophyta; Magnoliopsida; Malvales; Malvaceae.
GAAAGGAAAGAAGAGAGUUUCCUCUCUUUCAAUGGUAGUGGAUGACAAUGAGGGAAAAUAUGAGUAAAAUGUUUGGUUUUUUUUCUUCUUUUUUUUGUCAAAAGCCAUACUGGUCAAAGGUCAACACAAUUCAUGGCUAUUAUCUCAUCCUUAUCUUUAAAGUCUAGCUUGAUACUAGGUAUAUGCCAACCUUAAAUAAAC